Molecule: ribosomal RNA, 466 nt
Filed under: uncultured bacterium
Lineage: Bacteria
Description: partial 16S ribosomal RNA
Rfam family: Bacterial small subunit ribosomal RNA
Source: RNAcentral
GACGAACGCUGGCGGCGCGCCUAACACAUGCAAGUCGAACGAGCGAGAGAGAGCUUGCUUUCUCGAGCGAGUGGCGAACGGGUGAGUAACGCGUGAGGAACCUGCCUCAAAGAGGGGGACAACAGUUGGAAACGACUGCUAAUACCGCAUAAGCCCACGUCUCGGCCUCGAGCCGGGGGAAAAGGAGCAAUCCGCUUUGAGAUGGCCUCGCGUCCGAUUAGCUAGUUGGUGGGGUAACGGCCCACCAAGGCGACGAUCGGUAGCCGGACUGAGAGGUUGAACGGCCACAUUGGGACUGAGACACGGCCCAGACUCCUACGGGAGGCAGCAGUGGGGAAUAUUGCACAAUGGGGGAAACCCUGAUGCAGCGACGCCGCGUGGAGGAAGAAGGUCUUCGGAUUGUAAACUCCUGUUGUUGGGGAAGAUAAUGACGGUACCCAACAAGGAAGUGACGGCUAACUACGUG